GCCGCGAUAGCUCAGUGGUAGAGCGCAGCCCUGAAGAGGCUGGCGUCGGGGGUUCAAUUCCCUCUCGCGGCACCA
This 75-nucleotide transfer RNA is filed under the name Candidatus Colwelliibacteriota bacterium. Its description in RNAcentral is "Candidatus Colwellbacteria bacterium tRNA-Phe". It matches the Rfam family "tRNA". From Rfam's summary of the family: Transfer RNA (tRNA) molecules are approximately 80 nucleotides in length. The record is from RNAcentral. Lineage: Bacteria; Candidatus Colwelliibacteriota.